ACUUUUCCUUUCUCUGGUGGGGGGUCGGAGUCAGUUUGUAACAGAAAAAGUGUGACGAUUGCAAGAGUGCCUAAAUGUAAAAAUUUAUUGUUUUCCAGAAAGCACAAUCAAACAACCCUCUCUGGGUUCUUCAUAGAAAAAAUCCAGGAAGGAUUAUAGUCCGUAUUUUCCGAACUAUGAGCCGCACCGGACUAUAAGCCACAACCCCAAAGUUU
This is a long non-coding RNA of Poecilia latipinna (sailfin molly), 215 nucleotides long. RefSeq lists it as uncharacterized. The record is from RefSeq and is a predicted model, not a curated record. NCBI's taxonomy places the organism in Eukaryota, Metazoa, Chordata, Actinopteri, Cyprinodontiformes, Poeciliidae. The transcript is spliced from 2 exons.